GUAAGCCAUGUGAAAUGAAGUGCAGCUCACUCGGAGGAUACAAAGUGUGCAGUGUUCAGGACUAAUCUAAACAUCCAGGGGAGUUAGUAAACACAUCCUAACGCAGCCUUUGCCUUGCUCAUCUCAGGAGCUUGACUCGGCUGAAGAGCUAAAGCAGGUGCUUGUCUGCAGUUGCACUCCUUGCUGUCUUGGUGUUCCGGUCGGUGUUCACUGCUUGUUUGCAGCAACCCUGCAGUGCCUUACAUCAGUGUUGGCUGAUGGGCUAGGGACUUCAGCUAACAGGCCAUUCUGGAAAGCAGCAUCUUCACCUGGAAAAGAGCACAUGCUGGCUGAGGAAGCCCUCCAUCUGCUGCUGGCUCCUGCUCCUGCUGCCUGAGGGGACGGCUGCCGGCUGCUGCCUUGUGUUUGUACAAGGGAAGGCUUGCAGGCUGCUUUGAGGCUCGGAGAGCCACUCGAACCAGACUGUGCAUGGAAGAAUGGAUGCCCAACGGUUGGAUUUGCCAACUCCAGAAGGAAGUGCCAGUUUCCAGGGAGGAAAUAAUUAUCUGAACACAUCCUCCUCAGAUCUGCCUCCCACUCCAGCAGCAGAGAGCGUCUGAAAGGAGCUGCCGGAGCAGCUGUUGUUCCAAGUGCAGCAUUCUCCAGUGGGUUUUCCUCCUGGAGCGAUCCUGAGCCCACGCUCAGAGUUAGGGCUGGAGGAAAGGUGCAUGAAUUGCCUGACUUGCACGGUGCUCUCUGCUGGCUCAGUGGAAGUGAUUCACUUGCUCGUGAGUGCGAAAUGUUCGUCGUCCCUCCUACCCACAGCAUGAUGUGGCUUCUACCCUUCCCCCUCUGUGCUCUUAUCUUCUGCUGCUUGGAGAGGCGGAGUGCUCAGCGGCUGUGAGGUUUGUGUGUCUGGAGGGGGUGGCAACUCGCCAGCCCACGGCAUGCUUCUUGUGCUGUGAAAUUGGAGCGGGUGAAUGCCAGCUACUUCAGUGGAAAAUGGGAGCAGUUCCUCUGCUGCCAGUGAGGGCUGCUGCCUGAAGGUACCACUGGGCUCCAAAGAGUGGAAGACUUUGCUUCUGGCUAUGUAUAACACACCUAUUCCUUUGACACACGUGAAUUGGUGUAUAUUACUGGGAAUUCCAGGAUGCUUAGCUGGGAAUGAACUCCUCUCCGUUUCACAACGUGACUCUGUGGUGUUUGUACUAGUUUAGAUUUGUUAAUUUUGUUUUGUCUGUUUGUUAUUUUCCACUGCUUCAGACUGGGGAAUAGCAGCUGGCCGAGGCUUUGUACUGUCCAUGCCUUACCCUGGUUUUUAAAUUGUCUAACUCUGAAUGAGCUGGGACUUAAGGGGCAUCGUAUGAAACCUCCAGGUGGCAGAUCUGAACCUAAGCAGGCCUCCUUCCACGUGCACUGCAGAGCAGUCGGAUGAAUCCGAGGAAGAAAUGUCCAUUGAGGACUAUUAAACACAAAAGCUUUCAUUACCGGGCCGCAGCCUGGGCACACGGCUAACGUGUUCCAUCCAGCAGGGCUUUGGGGACUGCUCCGAUCAGCUCAUCUGACUCCAUCAGCUGUCCAUCAGACGGCUGGGAAGUGCUCCCAGGGCUAACCUACACACGGUGUCAGCAACCCACCGCCUCUGCUCCCGUUGCUGCCUGCAUAAAGGUCACAGAUAACGAUUAAAAAUAAAUAAAUAAGCCAGGAGAACCCCCCAGCCUACCUCUGGGGUCACUCAGGUUUGAAAUAAAUCUCUCAUCUUUCUAUUUCUGAAGCCACAGAUGACUUAAGCCAAAUUGCAUUUGGAGCCGUUAUCCUCACACUCCUGUUUUAUUUAUGCUGCCGUGUCCUGUGCUAACGCUUUGUGAAAUAUUUAUUUGCUUCUGCUCUCCCACAGCUCAGCUGUGGAUUCAUGAGGCUCCUGUGCUAUGUCUCAAUUCUACGCAGCUGCGUUCUGUCAAGAAAGGAGAAAAUGAAGACUCCAAUCUGUGUUUUACAUUGUAGCAAUGCACCAUGUAUGACUGUAGCUGAUGUCUUUCAACAGGUGGAUGUUUUUCAGGUGCCUGGCUUGAGUAAGAGCUGUGGAAUGCAUGUAUGGUGGCAGAACCUUAAUGUGUGAUGAGCAGCUCUUCUGUAUGUGCUUCCCCAAGCUGCCCUUGUGCUUGCUGGCCCUACUGGUUCCAGGUAACUCGCACAAAAGAGUUUGGGAGGAGACAGACGUCCUAAAGGACACCAGUGUGUGGCUUAUUGGUUCAGGGGGUGAGCUGAUUACAAAUUUCAGAUUCUGUCCGUAAGAUAAAUAAAUGAAGUGUCGUAAACACCUUUGUCUUCUGCUCGGGGCUGAAGCGAGCAGCCAAGUCAAACCGGUGUGCAUCCGAAAUGGCUUCUCCAGGCACUGUGCCAGCUUCCUGUCCCUCAGUCCAGGGAGGAAAUGAGCAGCAGCUGUCCUCCCUGCUGCAGCUUUGCUGCUUGCAAGCCAGGGAGGAGGAAAUCUGUGUACUGGGCUCCCCUUCCCUCCCUUUAUCACAAACACCAGAGUCUUGGUUUGAGUUCCUGCAGGAGCAAGGAUAUGGGCUGGCUGAAGAUACUUUGGUGCAGCUCUGACAUUUGGGCAAGCCAGCAGGAUUCUGCUAGAGAGGAUUUGUUCUCUUGCUUCCAGCUGAAAGCCGGACUAGAAGUGUCUGGUUGCCAUCUGAGUUAACUGUUGUUUAGUGUGUAAUGAGUGGAUGGUUCUCAGUCCAGUGGUGGAUGGACAAGUUUAGUCUGAGAGCUGCAGGCAGGGCUGGUCCCCAAGGAGUUGGCUGACACUGACUGUAAGCUGCCUGCAUCUUUAGAGGCAGUGUGUAAAUUGGAGGAAUAAUAAACGUGAGUGCCUGGAGGUGGCACAUGAGUAUACGAUGGAGGAGAUUUUACUUUUACACACUUAAGCUUGGUGAUCUGAUGCCAUCUCUAAAAAACCUUUCCGAGUCUAAAUUCAGUUUUAGGUCAGUAUAUUUAUAUAUAUACACACGUAUUUGGGAAAGGACCUGCUAAGCUGCUGUUGCCACUUCUUGCUGAAUUAUACCAACAAGCUCCUUCUGGUGUUAGCUUUAAGUGACAUUUACUGUGUAAAUGACACUGACAUUCAAGAUGAGUUGUUGGCUUUUGCAGCAGCUUGCUAAUUCCUUGUAGGAUCUCCCAGGAGAAGAGCCUGCAGCAAAGAGCUGCUGCAACAGGUGCUGCUUUGGCCUCCUGUGCUCUGUAGGGAGGAGGGUGAGCGGGCAAAGCCUUGUUGUCACGUCAGCACUUUUUGCUUCCUUUCAUGUCUGUAGGAAACCUGGGGACACACUGAUUUACCUGUUGGGUUUCCAUGAUCGACAACAGUGAAUGCUGUUUGCAUGUGUAGUGAAGGAACCAGCAUGUGCUCGCCUUGUUUAGUGAAUGCCUUCCACUGGAGAUGGAGUGAAGGUCAGGUGGUGGCGGAUCGGUCAGUUGAGAGGUGGGGUAAUGGAAUGAUACUACCACAGAUUGCUGUGUGCUGACUGAUGCUUUAAAAGAUCAGAGAUUUACAUUGGAGGAUACGUAGCUUUGCCAGAAGAAAUUGGGAUGUUUAAAAUUUAUUUUAUCUUUUAGCCAGAGGAGAAGCUUUAAUAGCUGUGAGAAGUGGUUUUGUUUUUCGUUUUGGCCUUUGGUUUGAAGGACAGGCUGGAGUCAGCUGCCUGAUUCACACUGACUUUGGGGGAGAUCCGCCUGCUGAGCUGCUCCUCAUGUAUUUCAGAAAUCUCUUCUUAGUCUGCAAAUCUGUCCAUAACCCCUUUUUAAUUAGCCUGUCUUUCUGGAAGAAGGGACCAAGAAAUCAUGUUCAAAGAUUAUUGCUCUAUCGAGCAGCUGCUAGAAUAGACCAGUUAAUGCUGCAGAACAAUGUUCCAGGCCCCAGCAGCAUGUCUGG
RNAcentral lists this long non-coding RNA (3907 nucleotides) under Gallus gallus (chicken). RNAcentral's name for it is "lncRNA (ENSGALG00010026850.1)". The record is from RNAcentral. Lineage: Eukaryota; Metazoa; Chordata; Aves; Galliformes; Phasianidae.